RNAcentral lists this ribosomal RNA (467 nucleotides) under uncultured bacterium. RNAcentral describes it as "partial 16S ribosomal RNA". It matches the Rfam family "Bacterial small subunit ribosomal RNA", at positions 28 to 507 of the family's 1533-position model. The record is from RNAcentral.
GAUGAACGCUGGCGGCGUGCUUAACACAUGCAAGUCGAACGAUGACGCCCGAGCUUGCUCCGUUUGAUUAGUGGCGAACGGGUGAGUAACACGUGAGCAACCUGCCCUUCACUUUGGGAUAACCUCGGGAAAUCGGGGCUAAUACCGGAUAUGAGCCCCUGUCGCAUGGCGGGCGUUGGAAAGUUUUGCGGUGAAGGAUGGGCUCGCGGCCUAUCGGUUUGUUGGUGGGGUAGGGGCUCACCAAGGCGAGGCCGGGUAGCCGGCCUGAGAGGGCGACCGGCGACACGGGGACUGAGACAGGGCGCAGUCGCCUACGGGGGACAACAGUGGGAAAUAUUGCACAGUGGGCGAGAGCGUGAUGCAGAGGCGCCGCGGGAGGGAUGACGGCCUGCGGGGUGAAAACCUCUUUCAGCAGAGAAGAAGCGAUAGUGACGGUACCUGCAGAAGAAGCGCCGGCUAACUACGUG